RNAcentral lists this ribosomal RNA (253 nucleotides) under uncultured bacterium. Its description in RNAcentral is "partial 16S ribosomal RNA". It matches the Rfam family "Bacterial small subunit ribosomal RNA", at positions 524 to 776 of the family's 1533-position model. The record is from RNAcentral.
UACAGAGGGUGCGAGCGUUAAUCGGAAUUACUGGGCGUAAAGCGCACGUAGGCGGAUCGUUAAGUCGGGGGUGAAAUCCUGGAGCUCAACUCCAGAACUGCCUUCGAUACUGGCGAUCUUGAGUCCGGAAGAGGUGAGUGGAACUCCUAGUGUAGAGGUGGAAUUCGUAGAUAUUAGGAAGAACACCAGUGGCGAAGGCGGCUCACUGGUCCGGUACUGACGCUGAGGUGCGAAAGCGUGGGGAGCAGACAGG